UAUGCAGGUUUUGUGUUAUCCGCUUUGUGCCAACCAUGCAUUAAUGCAGAAGUACUGGCCUGCAACAUUGAAAAGGGAAGGUGGGCAGUCUGCUUUUAAGGUGAUUGAAAUGCUUGACAAUCACCUUCCCUAUAUUA
Small nucleolar RNA from Nymphaea colorata (pocket water lily), 137 nucleotides. RefSeq annotates it as small nucleolar RNA snoR135. NCBI's taxonomy places the organism in Eukaryota, Viridiplantae, Streptophyta, Magnoliopsida, Nymphaeales, Nymphaeaceae. The transcript has a single exon. The record is from RefSeq and is a predicted model, not a curated record.